This 519-nucleotide ribosomal RNA is filed under the name uncultured bacterium. RNAcentral's name for it is "bacterial SSU rRNA". It matches the Rfam family "Bacterial small subunit ribosomal RNA", at positions 8 to 518 of the family's 1533-position model. The record is from RNAcentral.
AGAGUUUGAUUCUGGCUCAGGAUGAACGCUAGCGACAGGCUUAACACAUGCAAGUCGAGGGGCAGCAUAAAAGUAGCAAUACUUUGGUGGCGACCGGCGCACGGGUGAGUAACGCGUAUGCAACCUACCUAUCAGAGGGGAAUAACCCGGCGAAAGUCGGACUAAUACCGCAUAAAACAGGGGCACCGCAUGGUGAUAUUUGUUAAAGAAAUUCGCUGAUAGAUGGGCAUGCGUUCCAUUAGGUAGUUGGUGAGGUAACGGCUCACCAAGCCGACGAUGGAUAGGGGAACUGAGAGGUUGGUCCCCCACACUGGUACUGAGACACGGACCAGACUCCUACGGGAGGCAGCAGUGAGGAAUAUUGGUCAAUGGGCGGGAGCCUGAACCAGCCAAGUCGCGUGAAAGGAAGAAGGAUCUAUGGUUCGUAAACUUCUUUUGCAGGGGAAUAAAGUGCAGGACGUGUCCUGUUUUGUAUGUACCCUGAGAAUAAGGAUCGGCUAACUCCGUGCCAGCCGCAGC